UACGUAGGUGGCGAGCGUUGUCCGGAUUUACUGGGCGUAAAGAGCGCGCAGGCGGUCGUUCAAGUCGAGUGUGAAAGCCCCCGGCUUAACUGGGGAGGGUCACUCGAUACUGAUCGACUCGAAGGCAGGAGAGGGAAGUGGAAUUCCCGGUGUAGUGGUGAAAUGCGUAGAUAUCGGGAGGAACACCAGUGGCGAAGGCGACUUCCUGGCCUGUUCUUGACGCUGAGGCGCGAAAGCUAGGGGAGCAAACGGG
This 253-nucleotide ribosomal RNA is filed under the name uncultured bacterium. RNAcentral describes it as "partial 16S ribosomal RNA". It matches the Rfam family "Bacterial small subunit ribosomal RNA", at positions 524 to 776 of the family's 1533-position model. The record is from RNAcentral.